RNAcentral lists this long non-coding RNA (233 nucleotides) under Callorhinchus milii (elephant shark). RNAcentral describes it as "Prostate androgen-regulated transcript 1 conserved region 2 (ENSCMIG00000019256.1)". It matches the Rfam family "Prostate androgen-regulated transcript 1 conserved region 2". The record is from RNAcentral. Lineage: Eukaryota; Metazoa; Chordata; Chondrichthyes; Chimaeriformes; Callorhinchidae.
AUACACGCUUGCCUAGAAUUUAUGAACCUCGGCUAAGAAGCCAACCUAUCACUGUACUUCCUGUAAAAAGUCUUACUGGCUGUGCUUAACUGAGAGAGCUGCUGUGCAAAAAAAUCCAAAGAGUCUGCACGAAAAUCACCAUUUCUCUCUGUACACGAAAAAAUAAAAUUAUAGGUUUCCUCUGCACAUAUUGUCAAUAUUUGUGAAAGGAGUGCUAUCCUCAUCUGGGGCAG